GAUGAAGAACGUAGCGAAAUGCGAUACUUGGUGUGAAUUGCAGAGUCCCGUGAACCAUCGAGUCUUUGAACGCAAGUUGCGCCCGAAGCCAUUAGGCCGAGGGCACGCCUGCCUGGGCGUCACACGUCGUUGCCCCCCCAUCUACUCCUUCGGGAUUGCGGGGGGCGGAUGAUGGCCUCCCGUGCGCCUCGUCGCGCGGUUGGCAUAAAUGCCAAGUCCUCGGCGACGCACGCCACGACAAUCGGUGGUUGCGAAACCUCGGUUGCCCGUCGUGUGCGGUCGUCGCGCAUCGAGGGCUCGAAAAAAUUGCCGGGCUCCGGCUCGGCUUUCAACGCGACCCCAGGUCAGGCGGGGUUACCCGCUGAAUUUAAGCAUAUCAAUAAGCGGAGGA
This 391-nucleotide unclassified non-coding RNA is filed under the name soil metagenome. RNAcentral describes it as "partial contains 5.8S ribosomal RNA, internal transcribed spacer 2, and large subunit ribosomal RNA". The stretch from base 1 to 122 matches the Rfam family "5.8S ribosomal RNA", at positions 35 to 154 of the family's 154-position model. The record is from RNAcentral.